GUAAGGAAUAUUAGACAAUGGACGCAAGUCUGAUCCAGCCAUGCCGCGUGAAGGAUUAAGGUCCUCUGGAUUGUAAACUUCUUUUAUAAGGGACGAAAAAAGGCUUUUCUAAGUCGUCUGACGGUACCUUAUGAAUAAGCACCGGCUAACUCCGUGCCAGCAGCCGCGGUAAUACGGAGGGUGCAAGCGUUAUCCGGAUUCACUGGGUUUAAAGGGUGCGUAGGCGGGCAGGUAAGUCAGUGGUGAUAUCCUAGAGCUUAACUCUAGAACUGCCAUUGAUACUAUCUGUCUUGAAUAUUGUGGAGGUAAGCGGAAUAUGUCAUGUAGCGGUGAAAUGCUUAGAUAUGACAUAGAACACCUAUUGCGAAGGCAGCUUACUAAGCAUAUAUUGACGCUGAGGCACGAAAGCGUGGGGAUCAAACAGGAUUAGAAACCCGGGUAGUCC
This 445-nucleotide ribosomal RNA is filed under the name uncultured bacterium. RNAcentral describes it as "partial 16S ribosomal RNA". It matches the Rfam family "Bacterial small subunit ribosomal RNA", at positions 354 to 796 of the family's 1533-position model. The record is from RNAcentral.